ACCAAAGCAACAAAACAAUCAAUGGGGUCUCCAAUGGCCUACUUAGCAGCAACUUUGCUUGUUUUAACAGUCUCUCUGACCUUUGUAUCUCAAUCAACCGCUAACUACUUCUAUUCUUCUCCUCCACCACCUGUUAAGCACUACGAAUACAAAUCACCACCUCCUCCGGUUAAGCACUACCCUCCCCCUCCGGUUUAUCAUUCUCCACCACCACCUAAGAAACACUACGAAUAUAAAUCUCCACCUCCUCCAGUUAAACACUACUCUCCACCACCGGUUUACCACUCUCCACCACCCCCAAAGAAGCACUACGUGUACAAAUCCCCGCCACCCCCGGUUAAGCACUACUCUCCUCCUCCCGUUUACCAUUCUCCACCACCACCAAAGAAACACUACGUGUACAAGUCCCCUCCUCCUCCGGUUAAACACUAUUCUCCUCCUCCGGUUUACCACUCUCCACCACCUCCUAAGAAGGACUACGUCUACAAAUCUCCACCCCCACCGGUUAAGCACUACUCUCCCCCACCAGUCUACCACUCACCACCACCACCCAAGAAACAUUACGUAUACAAAUCUCCUCCUCCUCCGGUUAAACACUACACACCGCCUCCAGUUUACCAUUCCCCACCCCCACCUAAAAAACAUUACGUCUACAAAUCUCCUCCUCCUCCAGUGAUGCACUAUUCUCCUCCUCCGGUUUACCACUCUCCACCACCACCAAAGAAACACUAUGUGUACAAAUCUCCUCCUCCUCCGGUUAUGCACUACUCCCCUCCUCCGGUUUACCACUCUCCACCACCACCAAAGAAACACUACGUGUACAAAUCUCCUCCUCCGCCGGUUAAACAUUAUCCCCCACCGGUUUACCACUCUCCACCACCACCAAAGAAACACUACGUGUACAAAUCCCCUCCUCCUCCAGUGAAGCACUACUCUCCCCCUCCGGUUUACCAUUCCCCACCCCCACCAAAGAAGCACUACGUAUACAAAUCCCCUCCUCCUCCGGUUAAGCACUAUUCUCCUCCUCCAGUUUACCAUUCCCCACCGCCACCAAAGGAAAAGUACGUAUAUAAAUCACCUCCUCCUCCUCCAGUCCACCACUACUCUCCCCCACACCAUCCUUACCUCUACAAAUCUCCUCCUCCUCCAUACCACUAUUAGAAUUCUCUGUCACGGUAAUAACUUUCCCAAUACUUACAUUUACACACCUCAUUAAGUUAACUUGUAAAAAGCCUAUAUGGAUGCAUGCAUGAGAAUAUUUAUAUCGUAUAGUAUAAACUUUUGUAGGAGAACACGAUGUGCAC
Molecule: long non-coding RNA, 1304 nt
Filed under: Brassica rapa (field mustard)
Lineage: Eukaryota; Viridiplantae; Streptophyta; Magnoliopsida; Brassicales; Brassicaceae
Description: long non-coding RNA (BRAP_LNC005236)
Source: RNAcentral